GCAGUCGAGCGGCAGCACGGGUACUUGUACCUGGUGGCGAGCGGCGGACGGGUGAGUAAUGCCUAGGAAUCUGCCUGGUAGUGGGGGAUAACGCUCGGAAACGGACGCUAAUACCGCAUACGUCCUACGGGAGAAAGCAGGGGACCUUCGGGCCUUGCGCUAUCAGAUGAGCCUAGGUCGGAUUAGCUAGUUGGUGAGGUAACGGCUCACCAAGGCGACGAUCCGUAACUGGUCUGAGAGGAUGAUCAGUCACACUGGAACUGAGACACGGUCCAGACUCCUACGGGAGGCAGCAGUGGGGAAUAUUGGACAAUGGGCGAAAGCCUGAUCCAGCCAUGCCGCGUGUGUGAAGAAGGUCUUCGGAUUGUAAAGCACUUUAAGUUGGGAGGAAGGGCAUUAACCUAAUACGUUAGUGUUUUGACGUUACCGACAGAAUAAGCACCGGCUAACUCUGUGCCAGCAGCCGCGGUAAUACAGAGGGUGCAAGCGUUAAUCGGAAUUACUGGGCGUAAAGCGCGCGUAGGUGGUUCGUUAAGUUGGAUGUGAAAUCCCCGGGCUCAACCUGGGAACUGCAUUCAAAACUGUCGAGCUAGAGUAUG
Molecule: ribosomal RNA, 599 nt
Filed under: Pseudomonas sp. PGV244
Lineage: Bacteria; Pseudomonadati; Pseudomonadota; Gammaproteobacteria; Pseudomonadales; Pseudomonadaceae
Description: bacterial SSU rRNA
Rfam family: Bacterial small subunit ribosomal RNA
Source: RNAcentral